This 497-nucleotide ribosomal RNA is filed under the name uncultured bacterium. Its description in RNAcentral is "partial 16S ribosomal RNA". It matches the Rfam family "Bacterial small subunit ribosomal RNA", at positions 28 to 507 of the family's 1533-position model. The record is from RNAcentral.
GAUGAACGCUGGCGGCGUGCCUAAUACAUGCAAGUCGAGCGAACAGACGAGGAGCUUGCUCCUCUGACGUUAGCGGCGGACGGGUGAGUAACACGUGGAUAACCUACCUAUAAGACUGGGAUAACUUCGGGAAACCGGAGCUAAUACCGGAUAAUAUAUUGAACCGCAUGGUUCAAUAGUGAAAGCCGGUUUUGAUGUCACUAAUAGAUGGAUCCGCGCCGCAUUAGCUAGUUGGUAAGGUAACGGCUUACCAAGGCAACGAUGCGUAGCCGACCUGAGAGGGUGAUCGGCCACACUGGAACUGAGACACGUUCCAGACUCCUACGGGAGGCAGCAGUAGGGAAUCUUCCGCAAUGGGCGAAAGCCUGACGGAGCAACGCCGCGUGAGUGAUGAAGGUCUUCGGAUCGUAGAGCUCUGUAAGUAGGGAGGAACAAAUGUGUAAGUAACUAUGCACGUCUUGACGGUACCUAAUCAGAAAGCCACGGCUAACUACGUG